UAGGGAAUCUUCCGCAAUGGACGCAAGUCUGACGGAGCAACGCCGCGUGAGUGAAGAAGGAUUUCGGUUCGUAAAACUCUGUUGUUAGAGAAGAACAGCGCAUAGAGUAACUGUUAUGCGUGUGACGGUAUCUAACCAGAAAGCCACGGCUAACUACGUGCCAGCAGCCGCGGUAAUACGUAGGUGGCAAGCGUUGUCCGGAUUUAUUGGGCGUAAAGCGAGCGCAGGCGGUCAAUUAAGUCUGAUGUGAAAGCCCCCGGCUCAACCGGGGAGGGUCAUUGGAAACUGGUUGACUUGAGUGCAGAAGAGGAGAGUGGAAUUCCAUGUGUAGCGGUGAAAUGCGUAGAUAUAUGGAGGAACACCAAUGGCGAAGGCAGGUCUCUGGGCUGUUACUGACGCUGAGAAGCGAAAGCGUGGGGAGCGAACAGG
RNAcentral lists this ribosomal RNA (429 nucleotides) under Bacteroidota bacterium. Its description in RNAcentral is "Bacteroidetes bacterium partial 16S ribosomal RNA". It matches the Rfam family "Bacterial small subunit ribosomal RNA", at positions 355 to 776 of the family's 1533-position model. Lineage: Bacteria; Pseudomonadati; Bacteroidota. The record is from RNAcentral.